Molecule: transfer RNA, 73 nt
Filed under: Octactis speculum
Lineage: Eukaryota; Dictyochophyceae; Dictyochales; Dictyochaceae
Description: tRNA-Arg
Rfam family: tRNA
About the family: Transfer RNA (tRNA) molecules are approximately 80 nucleotides in length. Their secondary structure includes four short double-helical elements and three loops (D, anti-codon, and T loops).
Source: RNAcentral
GAGCAUGUAGCUUAAAGGAUAAAGUAUUAGAUUCCGAAUCUAAUGAUUAGGGGUUCGAGUCCCCUCAUGCUUU